This 455-nucleotide ribosomal RNA is filed under the name uncultured bacterium. RNAcentral's name for it is "bacterial SSU rRNA". It matches the Rfam family "Bacterial small subunit ribosomal RNA", at positions 346 to 793 of the family's 1533-position model. The record is from RNAcentral.
AGGCAGCAGUAGGGAAUCUUCCACAAUGGGCGCAAGCCUGAUGGAGCAACACCGCGUGAGUGAAGAAGGGUUUCGGCUCGUAAAGCUCUGUUGUUAAAGAAGAACACGUAUGAGAGUAACUGUUCAUACGUUGACGGUAUUUAACCAGAAAGUCACGGCUAACUACGUGCCAGCAGCCGCGGUAAUACGUAGGUGGCAAGCGUUAUCCGGAUUUAUUGGGCGUAAAGAGAGUGCAGGCGGUUUUCUAAGUCUGAUGUGAAAGCCUUCGGCUUAACCGGAGAAGUGCAUCGGAAACUGGAUAACUUGAGUGCAGAAGAGGGUAGUGGAACUCCAUGUGUAGCGGUGGAAUGCGUAGAUAUAUGGAAGAACACCAGUGGCGAAGGCGGCUACCUGGUCUGCAACUGACGCUGAGACUCGAAAGCAUGGGUAGCGAACAGGAUUAGAUACCCUGGUAG